AGAGUUUGAUCCUGGCUCAGGAUGAACGCUAGCGACAGGCCUAACACAUGCAAGUCGAGGGGUAACAGGGGCUUCGGCCCGCUGACGACCGGCGCACGGGUGAGUAACGCGUAUGCAACCUGCCUGUAACAGCGGGAUAGCUCCCUGAAAGGGGAAUUAACACCGCAUAAGACCACGCUCUCGCAUGGGGACGGGGUAAAAUAUUUAUAGGUUACAGAUGGGCAUGCGUGACAUUAGUUAGUUGGUGAGGUAACGGCUCACCAAGACUGCGAUGUCUAGGGGUUCUGAGAGGAAGGUCCCCCACACUGGAACUGAGACACGGUCCAGACUCCUACGGGAGGCAGCAGUGAGGAAUAUUGGUCAAUGGACGCAAGUCUGAACCAGCCAUGUCGCGUGCAGGAUGACUGCCCUAUGGGUUGUAAACUGCUUUUAUAUUGGAAGAAUUGCGCUUACGAGUUAAGCGUUUGACGGUACAUUAUGAAUAAGGAUCGGCUAACUCCGUGCCAGCAGCCGCGGUAAUACGGAGGAUCCGAGCGUUAUCCGGAUUUAUUGGGUUUAAAGGGUGCGUAGGCGGAAAUGUAAGUCAGUGGUGAAAUCCUGCAGCUUAACUGUAGAAUAGCCGUUGAAACUGUGUUUCUUGAGUACAUUUGAGGUAGGCGGAAUGUGGUGUGUAGCGGUGAAAUGCAUAGAUAUACCACAGAACACCGAUUGCGAAGGCAGCUUACUAAACUGUCACUGACGCUGAUGCACGAAAGCGUGGGUAUCANACAGGAUUAGAUACNCUGGUAGUCCACGCUGUAAACGAUGAUUACUGGUUGUCUGCGAUACACUGCAAGUGACUGAGCGAAAGCAUUAAGUAAUCCACCUGGGGAGUACGUCGGCAACGAUGAAACUCAAAGGAAU
Molecule: ribosomal RNA, 903 nt
Filed under: uncultured bacterium
Lineage: Bacteria
Description: bacterial SSU rRNA
Rfam family: Bacterial small subunit ribosomal RNA
Source: RNAcentral